Molecule: ribosomal RNA, 301 nt
Filed under: uncultured bacterium
Lineage: Bacteria
Description: partial 16S ribosomal RNA
Rfam family: Bacterial small subunit ribosomal RNA
Source: RNAcentral
CAGUAGCCGCGGUAAUUCGAAGGGGGCUAGCGUUGUUCGGAUUUACUGGGCGUAAAGGGCGCGUAGGCGGGCGGAUAAGUCAGGGGUGAAAUCCCAAGGCUCAACCUUGGAACUGCCUUUGAUACUGUUUGUCUUGAGUUCGGGAGAGGUAAGUGGAACUGCGAGUGUAGAGGUGAAAUUCGUAGAUAUUCGCAAGAACACCAGUGGCGAAGGCGGCUUACUGGCUCGAAACUGACGCUGAGGCGCGAAAGCGUGGGGAGCAAACAGGAUUAGAUACCCCCGUAGUCCCUGUCUCUUAUAC